Molecule: ribosomal RNA, 253 nt
Filed under: uncultured bacterium
Lineage: Bacteria
Description: partial 16S ribosomal RNA
Rfam family: Bacterial small subunit ribosomal RNA
Source: RNAcentral
UACAGAGGUCUCAAGCGUUGUUCGGAUUCAUUGGGCGUAAAGGGUGCGUAGGCGGCGCGGUAAGUCGGGUGUGAAAUCUCGGGGCUUAACUCCGAAACUGCAUUCGAUACUGCGGUGCUUGAGGACUGGAGAGGAGACUGGAAUUUACGGUGUAGCAGUGAAAUGCGUAGAGAUCGUAAGGAAGACCAGUGGCGAAGGCGGGUCUCUGGACAGUUCCUGACACUGAGGCACGAAGGCCAGGGGAGCAAACGGG